RNAcentral lists this ribosomal RNA (253 nucleotides) under uncultured bacterium. RNAcentral's name for it is "partial 16S ribosomal RNA". It matches the Rfam family "Bacterial small subunit ribosomal RNA", at positions 524 to 776 of the family's 1533-position model. The record is from RNAcentral.
UACGUAGGGUGCAAGCGUUGUCCGGAAUUAUUGGGCGUAAAGGGCUCGUAGGCGGUCCAUCGCGUCGGGAGUGAAAAGCUGGGGCUUAACCCCAGUCCUGCUUCCGAUACGGGUGGACUAGAGGUAGGUAGGGGAGAACGGAAUUCCUGGUGUAGCGGUGAAAUGCGCAGAUAUCAGGAGGAACACCGGUGGCGAAGGCGGUUCUCUAGUACGGUACUGACGCUGAGACGCGAAAGCGUGGGGAGCGAACAGG